UACGUAGGGUGCGAGCGUUAAUCGGAAUUACUGGGCGUAAAGCGUGCGCAGGCGGUUAUUUAAGACAGAUGUGAAAUCCCCGGGCUUAACCUGGGAACUGCAUUUGUGACUGUAUAACUAGAGUUUGGGAGAGGGGGGUGGAAUUUCGGGUGUAGCAGUGAAAUGCGUAGAUAUGUGGAGGAACACCGAUGGCGAAGGCAAUCCCCUGGGCCUGCACUGACGCUCAUGCACGAAAGCGUGGGGAGCAAACAGGAUUAGAUACCCUGGUAGUCCACGCCCUAAACGAUGUCAACUGGUUGUUGGGUCUUCACUGACUCAGUAACGAAGCUAACGCGUGAAGUUGACCGCCUGGGGAGUACGGCCGCAAGGUUG
This 372-nucleotide ribosomal RNA is filed under the name uncultured prokaryote. RNAcentral describes it as "bacterial SSU rRNA". It matches the Rfam family "Bacterial small subunit ribosomal RNA", at positions 524 to 896 of the family's 1533-position model. The record is from RNAcentral.